This is a long non-coding RNA of Perognathus longimembris pacificus (Pacific pocket mouse), 260 nucleotides long. RefSeq lists it as uncharacterized. The transcript is spliced from 3 exons. NCBI's taxonomy places the organism in Eukaryota, Metazoa, Chordata, Mammalia, Rodentia, Heteromyidae. The record is from RefSeq and is a predicted model, not a curated record.
CUUAUUUGAAUCACUGUACAGCUGGCAUGGAGGAAACCUCCAACCAAUGGAAGACUGGGAAGGGAACAGCUAGUACAGGCUCAGUGAGGAGAACCUCUCGUGCCAUUGGUGGCCACAUGUUGACAAUGAUAGCCUCACAAGAUAACAUCCUCAUUGGAUGAUGGUAAAACAUCUUUUAAACCAUGCCACAAAAAGAGAAGCCAGCUCUGCUUAGGCACAGUGGAAAGGUAAAGGCAAGUAUACUUUUUGGAUCAUCCAAG